This 436-nucleotide ribosomal RNA is filed under the name Exiguobacterium sp. SP23. RNAcentral describes it as "bacterial SSU rRNA". It matches the Rfam family "Bacterial small subunit ribosomal RNA", at positions 1 to 421 of the family's 1533-position model. The record is from RNAcentral. Lineage: Bacteria; Bacillati; Bacillota; Bacilli; Caryophanales.
UAGAGUUUUGAUCAUGGCUCAGGACGAACGCUGGCGGCGUGCCUAAUACAUGCAAGUCGAGCGCAGGAAGCCCUCUGAACCCUUCGGGGGGACGACGGUGGAAUGAGCGGCGGACGGGUGAGUAACACGUAAAGAACCUGCCCAUAGGUCUGGGAUAACCACGAGAAAUCGGGGCUAAUACCGGAUGUGUCAUCGGACCGCAUGGUCCGCUGAUGAAAGGCGCUUCGGCGUCGCCCAUGGAUGGCUUUGCGGUGCAUUAGCUAGUUGGUGGGGUAACGGCCCACCAAGGCGACGAUGCAUAGCCGACCUGAGAGGGUGAUCGGCCACACUGGGACUGAGACACGGCCCAGACUCCUACGGGAGGCAGCAGUAGGGAAUCUUCCACAAUGGACGAAAGUCUGAUGGAGCAACGCCGCCUGACCAUGAAGCCUUCGGU